This 1666-nucleotide long non-coding RNA is filed under the name Manacus vitellinus (golden-collared manakin). Its description in RNAcentral is "lncRNA (ENSMVIG00005011292.1)". The record is from RNAcentral. Lineage: Eukaryota; Metazoa; Chordata; Aves; Passeriformes; Pipridae.
AGCACUGGGCAUCACGGCUGGGCUGGGACUGAACCCCUGGUAACCCCCAGGAGCCAAGGUGUGGGCCCUUCCACGGCCCAGUUUGUUUCCAGCUUCUCCACUCUCCAAGCUUUGUUUGUCUCCCACUGUUUCCCUCCUCUGGAUCCACAGCAGGAACACGGCUCUGGAGCCCGAUGGCAUCACUUGUCCCCGGGUCAGAACCAGCCCAGCUCCUUCCAACACAGUCACUCACCCACAGCACCCAAACCCAGAGGAAGACCCUUCCCUCCCCCCAGUCCCACCCUCCCCAUUUAUUCCCACAGAGACCUGGAUCCCACCUCACCUCCCUUGCUCUCCUUGCUGUCCUGGACCUCUCCUACAUCCAGGAAGGCCCCACGUCUCUUCCAAGGCUCCGUCUUCUACAGAUCCCCCGUGGUGACUUCCAGUCCCGGAUCCUCACACGGGAACGGUGCCUGGGGCUCGUCUGCCAGGACAGAGGUGGCCACAGGGAGAUGUUGCAGGGCAGGAAGCGGGUGAUGGCACCGGGAAGGAGAGGGAGGAACAUCCGCAGGCUCUCGGAUCCGCUUCCCCCCGGUGCUUCACUAAACAUCACCUAUGGAAAAGUGUUGUUACUCCUGCUUGGGACAAGGUCUGAAGUGCACCAGGACUGAGGAGCUGAUCAUGGACAGGCAGCAGAACUCAGUGCCCUGCUCCUCACCCCACUUCAGUCACUCCUCCUCAUCUGCCCCUGCACUGCAGCCCCUCCUCUGCCUGCACCACUCCUGCACCAGGAGCCACAUCCAUCCUGGAUCCAUCCCAUCCUCCUGACAGGCCCCUCUCCCUUCUCAGUCAGCCCAGAGCCACAGAAAGUUUCAGGGUCGCUUCUUCCUCACAGAAAUUACUCAGUUUAGCCAAAAGCCAGAGCAGUGACUGCUUGUGGGCUUUCAACAGCAAACAUUUCCACACUGCUCUCAGAAACCACACUGGGUUGAGUCCUUCAUCACUGCUUUUGUUAUUUCAGUUUAUCCCCUCCAGCUCCUCUCCCUCCCUGUUUAUCUUCUCUGAAAAGCACCUUCUGGCUUUAAAAGUUUAGUUCUUCUUUUCAAAGACAAAACACCAGCGUGAGAACUUGGAGUACCUUUACAUUCAAGAGAGACUUUUGCCUUACAACUCCUCUUUGAAAUAAUUCCUUUGUUUGAUCAUUUAUGCCUUUUUCUUUCCUGAAACUUGGAUCUGUUGGGCUGGGAGGUAAGGUUAUGGUUGAUCACUUCUGCUUUGCUCUCUGCUUCUCAGACACUGAAAUAUCGCACUGUGGGUGAGCACCAUCCUGCUGCAGCAAAACAAAGGUGGAUUUUGUUUGUAAAUUGUCUCUGGAAAGCAAAUCGGAAAGUUCUUGGAAAGCAAAACCUCCUGCUUCUUCCUGAACAACAGAACACAGGACCACUUUGAUUAGCACCAAAAGGAUUUUAAAUGAAUAGUUCCAGGGAGCUCCUUUCAAAUCAUAAAAUGUCAAUUUUACAUAAAAGUGUGUUUACAAAUAGUUUCUGCUUUACACUCAGCUCUGCCCAUUACUGACCAGAAGUUAUAUACACACAAACUAGCUCAGCAGCUUCAACCACUUGCAAGGGAGGACUGCGGAAUUUAUUUAAGAAAUAAAAAUAGGAUUUUCCUGGUUCCUAGAAAUUCU